RNAcentral lists this non-coding RNA (72 nucleotides) under marine sediment metagenome. Its description in RNAcentral is "c-di-GMP-I riboswitch aptamer". It matches the Rfam family "c-di-GMP-I-GGC riboswitch aptamer". The record is from RNAcentral. RNAcentral also lists the same sequence under 1 other name.
UGAAAAGGGCAAACCCGUCGCGAGGCGGGGGCGCAAAGCCACGGGCCUGCUUGGCAGGUAGCCGGGUUGCCA